GGUGGUGUGGGAUAUUCGACGAAGACAACAAAAAGUUGAUAUUUUUCGAUUUUUUUAAUCAAUAUUUAAGUUAGCACCUCAUUUGAUUUUUCGGUAAUUACUUUAUACUCGUUAACUUUUUUAAAAAACUAGUAUUCUUGCCGUCGCGUUGCGGCGUGUUAAAACAAAUAGAACAUGUACACAACGGAGGCUUUAACAUCCGAAAAAUGCAAAGCUUAAUCUACAAGGGAUAGCAGCAGCCCAUUAAGUCAAGUCUGGCAGAGGUCCUGUGAGGGAAGGAUAAUUUUCGCCAUGGCUUUUUGGCAUCUUUUUCUAAUUCACCUGCCGUCUGCCAGAUUGAAAUAUGCAAGCAUCAAUUAGUAACAGUUUUUUUCUUUCAUGUGCAAGUGAAAUAACAAAAAACCCAUCAACCAUUCCCUAAUCUAGAUUCCAAAAACACAUCUUUAACACCAAUAUAUUAUAACAAUCAAGUGAACCCAGAUGAUGAUUACCUGCAUAUUUAUUUCAACAGCAACUGAACCCACCUUUAAUCUCUUUCAUUGAACCCAGAUGAUUGCCUGCCACAUCAACAAAGAAUAUGCAUUUUUGUUCAAUGAAGAUGACUCAUCAUAUAAAACUGAUCAUUUAACUCGUUCAACGAAGAUGACCCGUUUAAUAGUUUUUGGUUAUGUGUGUAUAAUCUAAAACUUAUCACGCCUUUUCUUAUUACCAUUACCCUUACAUACCACAAGUCCCCAACAACAUUUUUGUAAGUAACAUCAAAAAUUUGAACCUUGGGUGUUGAAAACUAAAUAUAUUAUGUAGUGGUAGUUGCUGAAUAAAAAAGUAAGGAACUUACAAAUGAGAUCAUAACAAAUUGUAUUCCAAAAGAAAAUAGACAACGACAAAUGACAAAACUGCAUAAUUCCAGUAUUUUGAAGCUCCUGAUCGAUGAGCCAGUAUUCAUGCAUAUCCCAGUUUGUCCUCUCACUUUUUGGGGCACAACCGCUAUCAUACACUAAACUUUUCUUCUUCCCAACCUAUCGAGACCUAUGGUGAACCACUCAAUCCUUUCCAGUAGUCUUCCAAUACCUCCAUUCCCAUACUUCUUGUCAAGGACACUAAAAAAUACCAUUCCAAACCUCUGCUCUUUUGACUUAGACAAACCUAAAACAACCAAAGAUGACACACUAUAGCAUAACUCAUUCACAAAUCACAUGUUCUCAUAUAUCAUGAUCUAUAUGUAUCACAAUUAACAAUCAGAUAGUCAAUUUCAUAACAACAUGAUCCUUAAACUAUAGAAUCCAUAACAACAUUGAUCAUUGAUCAUAACACUUACAAGGAGCGUUGUAGCUUUAUUCGUCACCGUCGGAAUUGAUUUAAGUACGUCAUAAGCUUCCUAAUCCAUACUCAUUUCCAUAGUAAAGCACUUUGACAAUACCUCUGUUGUUAAAAGCGAUCGCCCAGUGCGCCUAGGCGAUCUGGGCGAGCAAGGCGACCUUGGACCGCUUUUGUCUCCUAGAUAAAAAAGCAACGUUCUUUUUUUUUUUUUUUUUAAAAAAAACCCUAUCUUUAAAAACAAACUAGAUUUUAUUUACAGCUAAUUUUAAAUAUUUUAGAAUCAUAUCUCAUCAAAUAUGUAUAUAUUUUUUAAAGAUAUUUUAAAUUUCAAAAACUUAAGAGAUAUAUUAUCUUAAUAUAAUAGAUAACUCGUAUACACAGCCACAGCAUUCACAGUUCUGUUUUUUCUGGCGGUAAAAAAAUACUACAGGUAUGUGAUUCUGUUAAAGAAUUAUUUAUUCUUUCAUCAUUCAGUUACAUAUUGAUCCAUGGGAACUAUGCUACAGGCGAUGGUUUAUGAUAUUUGA
RNAcentral lists this long non-coding RNA (1847 nucleotides) under Helianthus annuus (common sunflower). RNAcentral's name for it is "hypothetical non coding rna". Lineage: Eukaryota; Viridiplantae; Streptophyta; Magnoliopsida; Asterales; Asteraceae. The record is from RNAcentral.